Molecule: ribosomal RNA, 464 nt
Filed under: uncultured bacterium
Lineage: Bacteria
Description: bacterial SSU rRNA
Rfam family: Bacterial small subunit ribosomal RNA
Source: RNAcentral
AAUCAACGCUGGCGGCGUGCCUCAGACAUGCAAGUCGAACGCGAAAGGUUCCUUCGGGAACCGAGUAGAGUGGCGCACGGGUGAGUAACACGUAGGUAAUUUGCCUUUGGGUGGGGAAUAACAGCCGGAAACGGCUGCUAAUACCGCAUAAUGCAGCGGCUCGACAUCGAGACAGUUGUUAAAGCGGGGGAUCGCAAGACCUCGCGCCUAAAGAGAAGCCUGCGGCAGAUUAGCUAGUUGGUAGGGUAAUGGCCUACCAAGGCGACGAUCUGUAACCGGCCUGAGAGGGCGGUCGGUCACACUGACACUGACAUACGGGUCAGACUCCUACGGGAGGCAGCAGUCGGGAAUUUUGGGCAAUGGGCGAAAGCCUGACCCAGCAACGCCGCGUGAAGGAUGAAAUCCCUCGGGAUGUAAACUUCGCAAGAAUGGGAAGAAUAAGUGUGGGCUAAUACCCUCAUGAU